GAUGAACGCUGGCGGCGUGCCUAACACAUGCAAGUCGAACGGAGAGACGCGGAGCUUUUUCGUGUGAGGGUAGCGGCGGACGGGUGGGUAACAACUGGAUAGCAACCUUCUACGUCUUGGUUGAUAACGGGAAGCCAGUGUGGAUAAUACGGAACAUGCUGAACCGGUUGGAUCAAGGGUCAAGGACAGAUUUGGUGUCAGUGAGAGAUGGGUUCGCGCCGCAUUAGCUAGUUGGUAGGGUAACGGCUUACCAAGGCAACGAUGCGUAGCCGACCUGAGAGGAUGAUCGGCCACACUGGAACUGAGACACGGUCCAGAAUCCUACGGGAGGCAGCAGUAGGGAAUAUUAGGCAAUGGGCGAAAGCCUGAUGGAGCAACGCCGCGUGGGUGAAGAAGGUCUUCGGAUCGUAAAGCUCUUUUAUUGGGAAAGAAGAAAUGUGGAAGUAUUUAUGGGUGUCUUGACGGUACCUAAAGAAAAAGCGCCGGCUAACUACGUG
Molecule: ribosomal RNA, 497 nt
Filed under: uncultured bacterium
Lineage: Bacteria
Description: partial 16S ribosomal RNA
Rfam family: Bacterial small subunit ribosomal RNA
Source: RNAcentral